This 466-nucleotide ribosomal RNA is filed under the name uncultured bacterium. RNAcentral describes it as "bacterial SSU rRNA". It matches the Rfam family "Bacterial small subunit ribosomal RNA", at positions 28 to 507 of the family's 1533-position model. The record is from RNAcentral.
GACGAACGCUGGCGGCGCGCCUAACACAUGCAAGUCGAACGGAGCUUAGAGAGCUUGCUUUUUAAGCUUAGUGGCGAACGGGUGAGUAACGCGUGAGUAACCUGCCCUGGAGUGGGGGACAACAGUUGGAAACGACUGCUAAUACCGCAUAAGCCCACGGUACCGCAUGGCACUGAGGGAAAAGGAUUUAUUCGCUUUAGGAUGGACUCGCGUCCAAUUAGCUAGUUGGUGAGGUAACGGCCCACCAAGGCGACGAUUGGUAGCCGGACUGAGAGGUUGAACGGCCACAUUGGGACUGAGACACGGCCCAGACUCCUACGGGAGGCAGCAGUGGGGGAUAUUGCACAAUGGGGGAAACCCUGAUGCAGCGACGCCGCGUGGAGGAAGAAGGUUUUCGGAUUGUAAACUCCUGUCGUUAGGGACGAUAAUGACGGUACCUAACAAGAAAGCACCGGCUAACUACGUG